UCCGUGUUAACCACGGCAGUCUCCUUAGAGAGCCCAACUCAAUGCUGGCAACUAAGGACAGGGGUUGCGCUCGUUGCGGGACUUAACCCAACAUGUCACCACACGAGCUGACGACAGCCAUGCAGCACCUGUCUCUCUGCUGUAUUGCUACAGAAGUCGUAUCUCUACGAUUGUCAGAGGAUGUCAAACCCAGGUAAGGUUUUUCGCGUUGCUUCGAAUUAAACCACAUGAUCCACCGCUUGUGCGGGCCCCCGUCAAUUCCUUUGAGUUUCAACCUUGCGGUCGUACUCCCCAGGCGGGGUACUUCCUGCGUUAGCGCCGGCACCCAGAGGGUCGCUCCCCCAGGCACCUAGUACCCAUCGUUUACGGCGUGGACUAC
This 379-nucleotide unclassified non-coding RNA is filed under the name uncultured bacterium. RNAcentral describes it as "contains 16S-23S intergenic spacer region". The record is from RNAcentral.